RNAcentral lists this ribosomal RNA (253 nucleotides) under uncultured bacterium. RNAcentral describes it as "partial 16S ribosomal RNA". It matches the Rfam family "Bacterial small subunit ribosomal RNA", at positions 524 to 776 of the family's 1533-position model. The record is from RNAcentral.
UACGUAGGGGCCUAGCGUUGUCCGGAUUUAUUGGGCGUAAAGAGCUCGUAGGCGGCUUGUCGCGUCGACCGUGAAAACUUGGGGCUCAACCCCAAGCCUGCGGUCGAUACGGGCAGGCUCGAGUUCGGUAGGGGAGACUGGAAUUCCUGGUGUAGCGGUGAAAUGCGCAGAUAUCAGGAGGAACACCGGUGGCGAAGGCGGGUCUCUGGGCCGAUACUGACGCUGAGGAGCGAAAGCGUGGGGAGCGAACAGG